GAUGAACGCUGGCGGCGUGCCUAAUACAUGCAAGUCGAGCGAACAGAUGAGGAGCUUCUCCUCUGACGUUAGCGGCGUACGGUUGAGUAACACGUGGAUAACCUACCUAUAAGACUUGGAUAACUUCGGUAAACCGGAGCUAAUACCGGAUAAUAUAUUUAACCGCUUGGUUCAAUAGUGAAAGACGGUUUUGCUGUCACUUAUAGAUUUAUCCUCGCCGCAUUAGCUAGUUGGUAAGGUAACGUCUUACCAAGGCAACGAUGCGUAGCCGACCUGAGAGGGUGAUCGGCCAGACUGGAAGGGAGAAACGGAACAGACGACUACGGGAGGAAGCAGUAGGGAAUAUUCCGAAAUGGGCGAAAGCCUGACGGAGCAAAGCCGCGUGAGUGAUGAAGGACUUCGGAUCGUAAAACUCUGUUAUUAGGGAAGAAAAAAUGUGUAAGUAAAUAUGAACGUAUUGACGGUACCUAAUCAGAAAGCCACGGCUAACUACGUG
RNAcentral lists this ribosomal RNA (496 nucleotides) under uncultured bacterium. RNAcentral's name for it is "partial 16S ribosomal RNA". It matches the Rfam family "Bacterial small subunit ribosomal RNA", at positions 28 to 507 of the family's 1533-position model. The record is from RNAcentral.